Long non-coding RNA from Oncorhynchus keta (chum salmon), 224 nucleotides. RefSeq lists it as uncharacterized. The transcript is spliced from 3 exons. Lineage: Eukaryota; Metazoa; Chordata; Actinopteri; Salmoniformes; Salmonidae. The record is from RefSeq and is a predicted model, not a curated record.
UUGUGUCCUGAGCUGUUGUGUUGUGUCCUGAGCUGAGGUGUUGUGUCCUGAGCUGAGGUGUUGUGUCCUGAGCUGAGGUGUUGUGUCCUGAGCUGAGGUGUUGUGUCCUGAGCUGAGGUGUUGUGUCCUGAGCUGAGGUGUUGUGUCCUGAGCUGAGGUGUUGUGUUGUGUCCUGAGGUGUCGUCGUGUCGUGUCCUGAGGUGUCGUCGUGUCGUGUCCUGAGG